RNAcentral lists this transfer RNA (57 nucleotides) under Serratia symbiotica str. Tucson. It matches the Rfam family "tRNA", at positions 17 to 71 of the family's 71-position model. Rfam says of the family: Transfer RNA (tRNA) molecules are approximately 80 nucleotides in length. Their secondary structure includes four short double-helical elements and three loops (D, anti-codon, and T loops). Further hydrogen bonds mediate the characteristic L-shaped molecular structure. tRNAs have two regions of fundamental functional importance: the anti-codon, which is responsible for specific mRNA codon recognition, and the 3' end, to which the tRNAs corresponding amino acid is attached (by aminoacyl-tRNA synthetases). tRNAs cope with the degeneracy of the genetic code in two manners: having more than one tRNA (with a specific anti-codon) for a particular amino acid; and 'wobble' base-pairing, i.e. permitting non-standard base-pairing at the 3rd anti-codon position. The record is from Rfam by way of RNAcentral. Lineage: Bacteria; Pseudomonadati; Pseudomonadota; Gammaproteobacteria; Enterobacterales; Yersiniaceae.
GGAUAGAGCGCUGCCCUCCGGAGGCAGAGGUCUCAGGUUCAAAUCCUGUCGGGCGCG